UCGUACGGUUAAAAUUUAACAUUUGUAUAAAUUGAUGAUUGGUAUUAUGCAUAUAUUCUAUUGUUGGAAAUGAAUUAUUGUUUGAAUUAUAAUAUUGAAUUGGAUAUUCAGUUUGAAUUGAACGCGGGAUUUGAGUACAUUCGUGAUUUGGUGUAUGACAGGGGUUUGGAAUAGAGAUGGUAUUGGAGGGAUAUAUCGGUAAUUUACCCAAGUAAAUCAAGGUUCAGCAUUUGUUGUGAACUCUCAUGUUUUACUUUCUGUUUGGGGUGAUUAGGUGGAUCAGCUCUUACGAGCUUCUAUUCAGCUUUUGAGCUUCUGUUGGCGUAUUCGAGAGGACCAGAUCUUAUUAGUUUUUGUUGACGAUGUACUCUUACCCAUUUUCUAAAGGUUGGACGAUCAGAUCGGCACUCAAGUUACGCUAUCCAGUUUACUUCGAUAGUUUUUUGAAACGUUAAAUUUGGAUUAUAUGGCAUGUAUAGGCUCUUGUGCUAUUUUGGUUAAUGUUUGGCUUAUGUAAAUGUUAUGAAUGAUAUUUUGUGCAAAUAACCAAUUUGCAAAGGGUAUGAGAAUGAGGUAUAGUUGUUAUGCUA
Molecule: long non-coding RNA, 590 nt
Organism: Gossypium arboreum
Lineage: Eukaryota; Viridiplantae; Streptophyta; Magnoliopsida; Malvales; Malvaceae
Exons: 2
Source: RefSeq, a predicted model, not a curated record